AUCCACAGUGAGGCUGCUCACCAGUCGGGCUCGGCUGUACUCCAGGACUCAGUAGAUCCUGGGUACAAGCCCAGCCCGACUGUAAACUGACACAAUGCAGACUGCUCCUGACUUCCACAGGAGUCAGAGCCAGAGAGAAUCAGCAAAGGCAGAGAUUGUCUGAUUACCAGCAGAGGAGGGCUUCCAGUGAUAUUUUCCACUUACAAACCAGAAGCUGGAAGCAACUAAAUGACCCUCAACUGAAAAAUGGAAAGAGAAAAUUUGGCACAUUGACACAAUGGAGUACUACUCAGCAGAAAAAAUGGAAUCUUGAAAUUUGCAGGAAAAUGGAUGGAACUACAAGAAACCUUUCUAAGCAAGAGUCUCAAUGUGCUAAACACCAGGAUCUCAAACUCAUCACUGAAGCCAGGAUUCUUCUCAGUAUCAUAAGGGACCAACAGAUACACAGCCCUACCUGUUGCAGAUGUUAGUCUACAACCACCUCCAUUUUCACUUAACAACUUUUAUUUCCAUUGCAUGAUGAAAAUCAAUUUAAAUAUAAUGUUUUCUCAUUUACUACAAAUUUGAAGAAUUUUGUUUCAAUGUAACUGUAUAUUUAUAAGUUGUGGUUUUAAUUUUUGGCAGAUUGUUUUACAUGUGAAUCCCAGUUCCCUCUUGCUCCCCUCCUCACCUACCACCUCCCCAAGCUAAAACCCCACCUAUUACAUAUUGUUUCUACUCCCCAGGGAGAUUGACGCAUAGAGGU
Molecule: long non-coding RNA, 745 nt
Filed under: Cricetulus griseus (Chinese hamster)
Lineage: Eukaryota; Metazoa; Chordata; Mammalia; Rodentia; Cricetidae
Description: lncRNA (ENSCGRG00015037915.1)
Source: RNAcentral